CCCUCCGCAAGUGGUAUCCAUCCUUACGACCAGAGAUGGAGUUCCGAUGUUUCGUACGUGGUCGGUGCCUAGUUGGAAUUUCCCAGCGAGAGGUCACGAUGUGUUAUCCUGCUCUAUCUGAGAAGAAAAAUGAUAUUAAAGUGUUGAUCCAAAAACUUUUUGACAGCAAUGUGAGACAAGAAUUUGAGUCAGAAAAUUACACAUUUGAUGUUUAUGUCACGAAGGAUGAGCGGGUUAAGAUUUUGGAUUUCAAUCCGUGGGGUGCUUUUACCUUGCCUCUGCUUUUUGCCUGGG
Molecule: long non-coding RNA, 294 nt
Filed under: Citrus maxima (pomelo)
Lineage: Eukaryota; Viridiplantae; Streptophyta; Magnoliopsida; Sapindales; Rutaceae
Description: long non-coding RNA (CMAX_LNC001061)
Source: RNAcentral